CCAGCGCCAAGUCGUCAGGCAGUGUUGGUCCGCUGGAGCGGUUGGAAGGCGCCUGCGGAGCCUGUCAAGAACUAUGUCAUGGAUCAAGGAAGGAGAGCUGUCGUUUUGGGAGCGGUUCUGUGCCAAUAUCAUAAAGGCAGGCCCAAUGCCCAAACACAUUGCAUUUAUAAUGGAUGGGAACCGACGCUAUGCCAAGAAGUGCCAAGUGGAGCGGCAGGAGGGCCACUCACAGGGCUUCAACAAACUGGCUGAGACUCUGCGUUGGUGUUUGAACCUGGGCGUCCUAGAGGUGACGGUCUACGCGUUCAGCAUUGAGAACUUCAAACGCUCCAAGAGUGAGGUAGACGGGCUAAUGGAUCUGGCCCGGCAGAAGUUCAGCCGCUUGAUGGAAGAACAGGAGAAACUGCAGAAGCAUGGCGUAUGUAUCCGGGUCCUGGGUGAUCUGCAUUUGUUGCCCUUGGAUCUCCAGGAGCUGAUUGCACAGGCUGUGCAGGCCACCAAGAACUACACCAAGUGUUUCCUGAAUGUCUGUUUUGCUUACACAUCCCGUCAUGAGAUCAGCAAUGCUGUGAGAGAGAUGGCCUGGGGAGUAGAGCAAGGCCUGCUGGAUCCCAGCGAUGUCUCUGAGUCUCUGCUUGAUAAGUGCCUCUAUACCAACCACUCUCCUCAUCCUGACAUCUUGAUACGGACUUCUGGAGAAGUGAGGCUCAGUGACUUCCUCCUCUGGCAGACCUCCCACUCCUGCCUGGUGUUCCAGCCCGUUCUGUGGCCAGAAUACACGUUUUGGAACCUCUGUGAGGCCAUCCUGCAGUUUCAGAUGAACCAUAGCAUGCUUCAGAAGGCCCGAGACAUGUAUGCAGAGGAGCGGAAGAGGCAGCAGCUGGAGAGGGACCAGGCUGCAGUGACAGAACAGCUGCUGCAAGAGGGGCUCCAGGCCAGUGGGGACGCCCAGCUCCGACGGACACGCUUGCACAAACUUUCAGCCAGACGGGAAGAGCGGGUCCAAGGCUUCCUGCAGGCCUUGGAACUCAAGCGGGCUGACUGGCUGGCACGUCUGGGCACUGCAUCAGCCUGAGUGAGGCUGGCCUCCUUUCAUUUUGCCCUGCCCUCUGCCUCCAGGGCCCCACUCCCCUUUUCUUGGUGAAAGGUACCUCCCUCCUGAUGACGAAUUAUGUUUCCUUUGCUUGGCAAGGGAGCCCCAAGAGGCCAGGUCUGCUGGCCAUAGAUAUCUUCGGGCUGCCUGGGACAGUACCCCUGGGGAGGAUUGAGGGUGAGAGUCUCUGACAAGUACACUAAACCCAGCUCUGAUCACGAAUAGGUUUGGAGAACAGAGGGACCCAGCUCUUCUAUCUUUGCCACCUCUACCUGUACUCCCAGCUUCACUUUCUUUUUCCACGCAUAGAGUCUCGGGGAAGAGGUCUCCCCAAAACCUUAGCCCUUUACCCAUCCAUCUUAGUCUUCACAAAAGAUGUGGCCCCACCUUGGAUCUGCUGGUAAAUAGCUAAGAGGCAGCCAGCGUUAUUUAGGCAAGGAAGGGAAUAGAGAGACAGAAAGAAAAUUUGCCCAUCUGCUGCUCCUCCCCCCUUGGCUCUCCACCUGGGAUUUGCUAUUGAAUCUCUACCCCCUCCCACCACGCAGUGCUGAUUGCUCACUCAAAGGCUUAGCGCCCCCAAUGGUGUGCGGAAGCCAGGCGGGUGAUUACAAUCCAAUUACCUAUUGUCGACUCAGCCCACACAAGCUUUUCUCCUCCUUUUGCAGGGCAUGGGGCCAGGCUCCACUCCCCAUUGAGACCGGCCCCCUCCAUGGCUACAGGGUAACAGAAGGGCCUAUAGGCCCUGGUGAAUCUAAUCCAGCACAGGCCACCUUCCUUGGAUCACAUCAGGACCAAGAGCACAGAAACAAGCACUUCUCCCAACUGACUGCCUCCUGCCCUCAGUAUCUCAGACUCUGCUUCCCACCUCUACAGCCUUUGAGGCUUUUCACAGCUUUUGACCUGGCCCCCUAAGUAGGCCGUGAGACAAUUUAUCCUCAGCAUGGCAGAGUCUCAGCUUGUGAGGGCCAAGGUUGCCGAGUAGGGAGAAGAGGGCCAAGUCAAGGGCUGUGUCUUUUCCCUUACCUCUCCCUGCCAGGCCUCACUGCAGAGCUGCUGAGAGGAUUAGUGCCUUUGAAGAGCUGUCUGUCUGAGCAACUCUGUGCUUCAGGUGCCCCAGAGCAGCAAGCACCAGCAGGCUGAAGGGGAUGCUAAAGGAGAUAAAGCCAAGGUGAAGGACGAACCACAGAGAAGAUCUGCAAGGUUAUCUGCUGUAAGUGUAUCUGCUUUUAAAUUUUCGGAU
This is an RNA transcript of Hippopotamus amphibius kiboko, 2333 nucleotides long. It is a transcript of the gene named dehydrodolichyl diphosphate synthase subunit, with no coding region annotated. NCBI's taxonomy places the organism in Eukaryota, Metazoa, Chordata, Mammalia, Artiodactyla, Hippopotamidae. The record is from RefSeq and is a predicted model, not a curated record. The transcript has 11 exons.